UGCACUACGGUGCAGAAGUAGUUGAUGCCCUGCUUCCAGGAAAAUCCUCUAAGCUCCAGGUAACAUUAAAUCGUACCCCAAACCGACACAGGUGGUCAGGUAGAGAAUACCAAGGCGCUUGAGAGAACUCGGGUGAAGGAACUAGGCAAAAUGGUGCCGUAACUUCGGGAGAAGGCACGCUGGCAUGUAGGUGAAGUCCCUUGCGGAUGGAGCUGAAGCCAGUCGAAGAUACCAGCUGGCUGCAACUGUUUAAUAAAAACACAGCACUGUGCAAACACGAAAGUGGACGUAUACGGUGUGACGCCUGCCCGGUGCUGGAAGGUUAAUUGAUGGGGUCAGCCGCAAGGCGAAGCUCUUGAUCGAAGCCCCAGUAAACGGCGGCCGUAACUAUAACGGUCCUAAGGUAGCGAAAUUCCUUGUCGGGUAAGUUCCGACCUGCACGAAUGGCGUAAUGAUGGCCAGGCUGUCUCCACCCGAGACUCAGUGAAAUUGAACUCGCUGUGAAGAUGCAGUGUACCCGCGGCAAGACGGAAAGACCCCGUGAACCUUUACUAUAGCUUGACACUGAACAUUGAGCCUUGAUGUGUAGGAUAGGUGGGAGGCUUUGAAGCGUGGACGCCAGUCUGCGUGGAGCCAUCCUUGAAAUACCACCCUUUAAUGU
Molecule: ribosomal RNA, 661 nt
Filed under: Serratia marcescens
Lineage: Bacteria; Pseudomonadati; Pseudomonadota; Gammaproteobacteria; Enterobacterales; Yersiniaceae
Description: partial 23S ribosomal RNA
Rfam family: Bacterial large subunit ribosomal RNA
Source: RNAcentral